Molecule: transfer RNA, 73 nt
Filed under: Camelus bactrianus (Bactrian camel)
Lineage: Eukaryota; Metazoa; Chordata; Mammalia; Artiodactyla; Camelidae
Also listed under: 1 other name
Rfam family: tRNA
About the family: Transfer RNA (tRNA) molecules are approximately 80 nucleotides in length.
Source: Rfam by way of RNAcentral
GAAGGUAUAGCUCAACUGUUAGACUGCAUGCUCAAUGUGCAUGAGGUCCUGGGUUCAAUCCCUAGUAUCUCCU